GAGUAAUGUCUGGGAAACUGCCUGAUGGAGGGGGAUAACUACUGGAAACGGUGGCUAAUACCGCAUAACGUCGCAAGACCAAAGAGGGGGACCUUCGGGCCUCUUGCCAUCAGAUGUGCCCAGAUGGGAUUAGCUUGUUGGUGAGGUAACGGCUCACCAAGGCGACGAUCCCUAGCUGGUCUGAGAGGAUGACCAGCCACACUGGAACUGAGACACGGUCCAGACUCCUACGGGAGGCAGCAGUGGGGAAUAUUGCACAAUGGGCGCAAGCCUGAUGCAGCCAUGCCGCGUGUAUGAAGAAGGCCUUCGGGUUGUAAAGUACUUUCAGCGGGGAGGAAGGUGUUGUGGUUAAUAACCGCAGCAAUUGACGUUACCCGCAGAAGAAGCACCGGCUAACUCCGUGCCAGCAGCCGCGGUAAUACGGAGGGUGCAAGCGUUAAUCGGAAUUACUGGGCGUAAAGCGCACGCAGGCGGUCUGUCAAGUCGGAUGUGAAAUCCCCGGGCUCAACCUGGGAACUGCAUUCGAAACUGGCAGGCUUGAGUCUUGUAGAGGGGGGUAGAAUUCCAGGUGUAGCGGUGAAAUGCGUAGAGAUCUGGAGGAAUACCGGUGGCGAAGGCGGCCCCCUGGACAAAGACUGACGCUCAGGUGCGAAAGCGUGGGGAGCAAACAGGAUUAGAUACCCUGGUAGUCCACGCCGUAAACGAUGUCUACUUGGAGGUUGUGCCCUUGAGGCGUGGCUUCCGGAGCUAACGCGUUAAGUAGACCGCCUGGGGAGUACGGCCGCAAGGUUAAAACUCAAAUGAAUUGACGGGGGCCCGCACAAGCGGUGGAGCAUGUGGUUUAAUUCGAUGCAACGCGAAGAACCUUACCUGGUCUUGACAUCCACGGAAGAAUUCAGAGAUGGAUUUGUGCCUUCGGGAACCGUGAGACAGGUGCUGCAUGGCUGUCGUCAGCUCGUGUUGUGAAAUGUUGGGUUAAGUCCCGCAACGAGCGCAA
Molecule: ribosomal RNA, 997 nt
Filed under: Salmonella enterica subsp. enterica serovar Montevideo
Lineage: Bacteria; Pseudomonadati; Pseudomonadota; Gammaproteobacteria; Enterobacterales; Enterobacteriaceae
Description: bacterial SSU rRNA
Rfam family: Bacterial small subunit ribosomal RNA
Source: RNAcentral